This 139-nucleotide ribosomal RNA is filed under the name uncultured bacterium. RNAcentral describes it as "partial 16S ribosomal RNA". It matches the Rfam family "Bacterial small subunit ribosomal RNA", at positions 355 to 511 of the family's 1533-position model. The record is from RNAcentral.
UGGGGAAUAUUGGACAAUGGGCGAAAGCCUGAUCCAGCAAUGCCGCGUGUGUGAAGAAGGUCUUCGGAUUGUAAAGCACUUUCGACGGGGACGAUGAUGACGGUACCCGUAGAAGAAGCCCCGGCUAACUUCGUACCAG